Molecule: long non-coding RNA, 3213 nt
Filed under: Gossypium barbadense (sea-island cotton)
Lineage: Eukaryota; Viridiplantae; Streptophyta; Magnoliopsida; Malvales; Malvaceae
Description: long non-coding RNA (GBAR_LNC015063)
Source: RNAcentral
GAGAUAAUUUUUGUAGUGUUAAUUAUAAUUUUUAAUCAAACAAUAUAAGUAAUAUAAAACAUUUUUUGAAGACCAAAAUUAAAUAUAACAUAAAUUAAUAAAGAUAUCAAAAAUAAAAAUAGUUUAAAAAUAUAUUAAAAGCUUAAAAUAGUUUUAAAUGAAACAUCAAAAAUAAAAACAUGUCGAAAAUUAAAUAUAACCAAAAUGUUCUUGUUUAAAGUAAAAAGAUCAAAUCUGAAUUGUAAAUGUAGUUUAACAUGUAUAUAUUGUCUUGUUGCUACCCUAGCACACCCUUGAGUGAUAUUUUUCCCCUUCUUGUUGCUACCUUCAACCACUCUUUUAGCUAAAACACAAACCAUUCCAUUAUUUCAAGAGGAUACACAUUUAACACAUAAUGGUUCCAACUAAAUAGUCCAAAUAAAAAUAAACUUAACAAAAAACCAAAGGCAAAAUGAAUGGAAAACAUGAAAAUGUCCUUAGCAACCAUGUAAAUGCCAGAUAAAAUCUGCAACUUUUGAAUCAAUCAAAAUAGAUGAAAACCAGUGGAAAAAUGAGGGUAAUGAACGAUUGCCUGCAACUCAAUACAAAAAUCUUACGAUGGACUGGUGAUCAAGUUAUAAUGUCUCUGUCCAAUCAACUAUCAACAUUAUGAACGAUACCCUUAAUUUAAAUUGCAUAAAACAGAUGAAGAUAGGUACAAAAUAUGAUCAUGCUUUCAUUAGUUUUUAAGGAGAAUUACUAUACAACCUUAGAAAAUAGAAACUCAAUUAUCUGUUGCCUUCAAAAUGUAGAGGCAGAUUAAUAACAAAGAAAACCAAUAGAAAGUUACAACUACAAACUUAAAUAUUAAAUAUUCGAGAUUCAUUCAGCCAAUUCGAUAUUAAAAAAAUUGAGACUUUGAAAUUAUAAAUGAACGAAGCAUACUAGAUCAAAUUAGAUUUAAAUUAAAUAUAAUAUCAUUGACUCACUGUGGCAAGCAAUCACCAAUGAUUUGAGCACAUAUAUAUGCAUAAUAUAUAUUUGAAGUCAAUAUGGUAAAAUGGUCCAUCCUCAUGCAAAUGUUAUCAAUACAAAUCAGCAAUGAUUAAAAAAACCAUCCUACAUUAGUUGCAAUCUCAGAGUCAGAUCAUACAAACAAUUGACUAUCAAAUGAUUAAGAUGGACUAAGAUUCAUGCUUGUGCUAAGCAAGAUUUGCAAAAGCACUAAGCCUGAGUCAGAUCCAUGCUUGUGUUAACUAACUAUACCACAACCACAUAAAGACCGAAAGAACAUCCAUAAAAAAAACUUACAAAUUCAUAAGAUUUGUAAUAAUAUCACGAGUCAUGGAAUUGGAAAUUCUGUAGAAUUUAAAGAAAAUCAUAUCUUCGUUAAGACUAUUGUGAGGGUUUCUACUUAGAACUAACCCAUUAACAUUUUAAAUAGAACACAAAUUUCAACAAUGGAACUGAAUACCGCAGAAAGUUAGCAUCACAUAAUUACUGCCAAAAAAUGCAAUAAAGGGCUUUAUCCGAUCUUUAAGUCUGAAAAUGAGUACAUGCAUGGUAAACACUUUUUACUUGGUACUAUCAAUACUAAGAAAAUGAAAAAGAUGAAAUGAAUUUGCUACCUUAGCCAACAAAUUUGAAUCCAGCAAAACAAAAAGGAUGGCGAGAUUACAGACAAAAACUAAGUAGGUAUAUCAUUUUAUUGCAUUCCACUUCUAAAUCUUUCCUAGAGAGCAUAUGAAUGAAAAAGUACACUCAUUUUCUAUCAUUAUUCCCACCAAUCCUCUAUCCGCCUAGUUUUCAAAACACUCCACCAAUAAAAUUUUAAAGUUAACCACAACAACAUAAUGUAUACGGUACAUUCCAAUAGGGCAGAAAAUGCAAAGAAACAAAUGCUCUUACUUCUUUCAACUUAUAACAUUAUACUAACAAAAUUUAAGAAAAAUAAAGACAGAAGAGGAAGAAAAAGUAGCAUUUAAGGUUAAGAACAUAGUUUGAAAAUUACCCUGUUCUCACCGUAUUCUUCUGAAUACUCUGAUCCAUCUCAUCUGAAACAUGUGAUCUAAAAAGCACAUCAAACUGUAUCAAAUAAAGCAUUAUUAAACAAAAUCCAGUAAAAAGUAGUGCAUAAAGUCUCGAGUUAACAAACUUGUUAUGGAAUUCAUAAGCACUGUCACGAAGCAAUUCAAGAUCAAAAUAAUGAUGCUGGUAAAACUUUAUCUAAAACCCGAUACAGUAGCUAAAUCUCUAUGCAACUUAUGAUUUUCUAAGCAUAUUAGCACAUAUUUCGAAUUUCUCUUUAAUUUAACUUCAAUGGUUUUCUCAACUGAAAUUCUUUGUUCAGCUUAAAAUGCAACUAGCCCAACAUUUUAGAAUCAAAAUUGAAAGAAAAAAAAAGCAAAGCAAUGGAAAAUUUACUAGUAAAACGAUUUCCUCAUCUCCCCCGCCUCUGUUUUCUUUUUCUUUUUCUUGCUCAAAAACUCUGUAACUGAUUCAAAGCUCAAAAUCCAAAACCCCAUCAACCCAUUUACCACAAACAAAAAAUUCCAACCUGAAAUUGAAACAAGCAACUUGAAAUCCCUUACAAUAAAAAGAAAUGACCAACAAUUCGAAAAAAAAGCUUAGCUUUCUAACCCUAAAUUGCCCUAAAAUAAUCGGAUCAACCAAUUGACUGAUUUUUUUUUCAAAAAAUCAUUUUUUUCACAACUCCCUACUAGUGCAAUACAAGAAAAGAAGCAAAGAGAUGAAAUUAUCAAUCACAUGUUUAAGAUUAAACAAAAACCUAAUGAAACAAGAAAAAUAUAAUAUUUCAUGCCUCUGGUUCAUAGAUUAUCUCGAUCAUAUUGUAAAAUUCCUCAAUAGGUCGCUCCUUCUGCCUCACCACAAUAGCAGCUGCUAUUGCCGAAGAAACGAUCAAAAGGCCUCUCUAUUUUCUGUCUCUAUUUUCUCUCUAUUUUGUCAAAGGGAGAUCGGGUUGGUGAGGAUAGAAGCAUGAAAAAGAGGGAGAUAAGGUUGGAAGGAAAUGAGAAGAAGAAUAAGAAAGAGGAAAGCUUUAGACGUGAGAAAGAAAGGGUAAUAAGAGGAAAAUUUUCUCCCACCCAUUCGUUGAAUAGAUAUUCCCAACCCAGACCACCAAAUUGUAAACGUUACUUUUGCCUUGAAUAAUCCCGUUUGGAAUAAGGCUGUAAUAGCUCGUUACAGCCAACCACACAAUGGCUUAGUGAUGGG